UCCCUGGUGGUCCAGCAGCUAAGGCUCCAUGCUUCCAAUGCAGGGGGCCCAGGUUCAAUCCCUGGUCAGGGAG
RNAcentral lists this transfer RNA (73 nucleotides) under Ovis aries (sheep). It matches the Rfam family "tRNA". Rfam says of the family: Transfer RNA (tRNA) molecules are approximately 80 nucleotides in length. Their secondary structure includes four short double-helical elements and three loops (D, anti-codon, and T loops). Further hydrogen bonds mediate the characteristic L-shaped molecular structure. tRNAs have two regions of fundamental functional importance: the anti-codon, which is responsible for specific mRNA codon recognition, and the 3' end, to which the tRNAs corresponding amino acid is attached (by aminoacyl-tRNA synthetases). tRNAs cope with the degeneracy of the genetic code in two manners: having more than one tRNA (with a specific anti-codon) for a particular amino acid; and 'wobble' base-pairing, i.e. permitting non-standard base-pairing at the 3rd anti-codon position. The record is from Rfam by way of RNAcentral. Lineage: Eukaryota; Metazoa; Chordata; Mammalia; Artiodactyla; Bovidae.